This is a long non-coding RNA of Cololabis saira (Pacific saury), 185 nucleotides long. RefSeq lists it as uncharacterized. The transcript is spliced from 3 exons. NCBI's taxonomy places the organism in Eukaryota, Metazoa, Chordata, Actinopteri, Beloniformes, Belonidae. The record is from RefSeq and is a predicted model, not a curated record.
UGCUCAUUUAGCACCUGGGUUACAUUACCGUGGGGGCAGUUUGUGACAACCUUUAAGUCACGUGGAUUAACUUUCAGAGGUUAGCUGGUGCAACGCUGCUGGUGUUUGCCAACAAACAGGAUUUACCAGGAGCGUUGUCCAAAGAAGCCAUCAAAGAGGCCCUGGCCCUGGAUGAGAUCAAGAAC